Molecule: small nuclear RNA, 120 nt
Filed under: Ailuropoda melanoleuca (giant panda)
Lineage: Eukaryota; Metazoa; Chordata; Mammalia; Carnivora; Ursidae
Description: U4 spliceosomal RNA
Rfam family: U4 spliceosomal RNA
About the family: U4 small nuclear RNA (U4 snRNA) is a component of the major U2-dependent spliceosome.
Source: Rfam by way of RNAcentral
CGCUUUGUGCAGAGGCUGUAUCAUGGCCAACGAGGUUGAUCUGAGGCGCGAUUACUGCUCAUUGAAAACUUUUCCAUUAUGACGUACAACAAGUACAAUGACAAACAUUUUCUUUAGUAU